RNAcentral lists this small nuclear RNA (100 nucleotides) under Zalophus californianus (California sea lion). Its description in RNAcentral is "U2 spliceosomal RNA (ENSZCAG00015025172.1)". It matches the Rfam family "U2 spliceosomal RNA". From Rfam's summary of the family: U2 is a small nuclear RNA (snRNA) component of the spliceosome (involved in pre-mRNA splicing). Complementary binding between U2 snRNA (in an area lying towards the 5' end but 3' to hairpin I) and the branchpoint sequence (BPS) of the intron results the bulging out of an unpaired adenosine, on the BPS, which initiates a nucleophilic attack at the intronic 5' splice site, thus starting the first of two transesterification reactions that mediate splicing. The record is from RNAcentral. Lineage: Eukaryota; Metazoa; Chordata; Mammalia; Carnivora; Otariidae.
AUCGCUUCUUGGCCUUUUGGCUAAGAUCAAGUGUAGUAUCUGUUCUUAGUUUAAAGAGGGUCCACGAUACACUACUCCAUGGAGUAAUGCAGGAAUCACU